Molecule: long non-coding RNA, 3632 nt
Organism: Ctenopharyngodon idella (grass carp)
Lineage: Eukaryota; Metazoa; Chordata; Actinopteri; Cypriniformes; Xenocyprididae
Exons: 3
Source: RefSeq, a predicted model, not a curated record
CGAUCAGUCAUUUUCUAAAAAAAAUUACAAAUUUAUAUACUUUUUUAACCACAAAUGUUCAUCUUGCACUGCUCUGCGAUUCACACGCAUGACGUAAUCACGUUAAAAAGGUCAUGCGUGACGUUGGCGGAAGUACCGAUCCAGUAUCUACAAAGCGAACAUGCAAAGAUUAAGCUAAACGCCCUUUACAAAAAAAGGUAAAACAACGAUUUCGGACGUUUUUAAAGUUGAAGGAGAAAAGUAGAUUGUUUUUCGCCCUACAGCGGUACUUCCGCCUACUUCACGCGUGACCUUGCAAUGUAAUGCGUGGGGCAGUGCAAGAUCAGCAUUUGUGGUUAAAAAAAUAUAUAUAUAUUAUUUAUUUAACUAUUAUUAUUGGUUAUUUAAAAAAAAAAAAAAAAAAGACCAAUCGUUUCGCUAGAUAAGACCCUUAUUCCUCGUCUGGGAUUGCGUAGAGCCCUUUUAAGCUGCACUGAAACUGCAAUUUGGACCUCCCAUCCGGCGAACCUCACUGAAGUCCACUAUAUGGAGAAAAAUCCUGGAAUGUUUUCCUCAAAAACCUUAAUUUCUUUCCGACUGAAGAAAGAAAGACAUGAACAUCUUGGAUGACAUGGGUUUAUCCAGAGGCCGGUAUCAUGAUUCGACAGACUUCAGAUCCAGGACAGCAUUGAAGAAGAUUGAAACCGAACGUCCUCCAGCUAUGUGAGGUGCAUGAUAUCAGUGAUGGAGCAGGAGAGGUUGUGACUGGUUCAUUUUUACUUUCCAGUACCCAAAAAAGAGAUCAGAGGACUGACACCCUUCUGACCCCCACCCAGACAUCCGCCCACGGCUGCAACCUGACCCUGUGACCUCUGACACCUUCACCUUUUGGAAAAGCUUCAAGGGAGUAACCUAAAAUGGUUGGUAUAUUCAAACUAAUAUGUUUAACAAACAAAAAGUCUGCUCCCGUAAUCACCAACAACAUAAAGCCAUCACAAAAACCCUCAGGAAACUCAAUGCCAAUGUUGGCGGUUCAUACAUGACCUGUUCUCAGGUCUAUCGGUAAGUUUUUUUUAAUUGUUGGUCUGUAAGCACUAGAUGGAUGUCUUUAACCGUUGUCAUCCACCUCGCUGUUUUUUAGCAUCUCACACCAUGAUUGCUGUGUUUUAAGAUGCUGUGUGAAGUUCAAUGAUGGACAGCAUAUCAAAAGUCGAUUUCAGGAUCUGUGUACUUCGUCCACCACUGGUAAAGUUAUAAACAUUUAAAAACAUGUCUGACUUUCAUACUAUGCCUGAUAUUUUGCAGUAAUGUGAUGUGAUUACAACAUAACACCAGGAGGAAUCUCCCUCUGUCAUUGUCAUUGUCUUUCGACAUCACACAAAGGACAAAGUCAAAAGUCUUAAAUUCCUUUGAGCCUCAGACACCAAAUGUGGCUGAUCUCAUUUCACAAAACACUCACACACAUACACACACCCUCUUUACUGCCUCCCUGAAUCAUCCCUGUCUUUUUACUCUCUUAUGACACUUUAGAGAAGCUCUCGUAACCCCUGGGCCCCUGAGACAACCAGCCAUUUUGAAAGAGGACACCCGAGAGGACAGCAUAGAGAGUGUCCUGCCAUUCUUCAAGUGUGCUGAGGUGGGGGAGGAUUUAUGUGUGUGACAUUGGUAGCUGAGGUAGCGGGAGGGAUCCAUGGUGAGUGAGAGAGAGAGAUGGCUAGAUUAUGUGCUUUAGUAAGGGAAUGAGCGGAAUGCCAGUUUGUGUCGCUUCUCCGCAUUCUGCAGGCCUGACAUUGUGAGAGUGAUCAGGCCGUUCUACCCCUCAACAGCUGUGUGUGUGUGUGUUGGUGGGGAGGGGUGCAUACAUGUGGACUCAUGGGUGUACAUAUGUUCUGAGCUUCCUCACUUAAAUCAGCAUUUAAUUACCUAGAUGGCAUUGGUGAAAGUGAAAUAUUAAAAUAUGCUUUGCGUAUGCAAAAUAUUACAUUGGUAUUCAAAGCCAUAUUUAUCUCUCUGUCUAAGCUGUGACCUUGCACAUUUAUGCAUCUUGGCAGCUGUUUUAAAGUAAUUUCUAGCUUUUAAUCCAGUGUUCAAACCAUAACAACAUACCCUGCAUUUGUACCUCUCUGCAGAAAACAUCCUGUUUUUCAGAGCAUAUGUCUAGAACAAAUGCAAAUUAUUUGUUGUAAGUUGUGGUACAACAUCACAUUAUGGAUUCUGGAUGUUUGUGCAGCGAAGUCAUUAUAAGUGUCUCUGUUGCAAUGAUGUAAUUAUCAGUAUUCGGAUAGAGCUGAAAAUGGGCGGGGCUUAAACUGGAAGUGCUCAAACUAAAUUAAAAGUUUUUUUUUUUGUAGGUGUUUUAUAGGCUAUCAGCAAACUUGUAUAAUUCAUACAUGUGUUUAUAAUUAUAGAAAAUAUUUAUUUUGUUAUUGCAAUCUUUAUGUAAAUUAAAGGUAAACAUGCAUGUUUUAAUGUGGAAAAAAAAAAAUACUUUAUCCAUGUUGGAUAAUCAGCCUAACAAAUUUUUUUUUUUUUUCUGUUCAUUCUUCGAGCACAUUCCUAUAUCAUGCAUUUCUAAUGCUUUAGGCCUAUAACCUCUUAUAUUCCUAUUUUAGCUCUAUACUUUCAAAUAUUCUUGAUUAAAUUAAUAAUUCAUAUUUUGUAAAACUCUUAUUGUCUGCUGUAUCUUCAUGCAUCACACAUCCUCAGUUUUUAAUUUCAUUAAAAUGUAUUAAAAUGUAAUUCAUUGCUGGUUCUCUCAGGGGGUUAAAACUGUAACUAUCAGGCACAUUUAAGUGCUUCUCCCUUCUUUGCAUUUCUCUCUUUGGUUCUAACCAGUUUCACUUUUCACUCAGAUUAGAUUUACCUCCUUUUCCUUUCAGCCACACUUCUCUCUUCCCUCUCCAUCCUUCACAGUGAAUUCCACACAGGAUCAGGCCUGCUUUUCAUGCUUAGCUGAAUCAAAAAAAAAAAAAAAAAAAAAAAAAGAGAGAGCGAGAGAGAGUGCAAGAGACAGGAAUGGAAAUUUAACUGUAGAAGAGAUCUGUUGAAAAAGAGUCAUUCAACAAGCAUAACAGAGGGCCUUAUCUUCAGGAAAAGAACGAAUGAAAGAGAGUGAGACAAAGCCAGUGCAAGUAGUGGAAGCGAAUGAAACAAUGUGCAAAGGUCACUGAAACAUUACAGGGGGAUAGCAGGUUGCCAGAGCAACACACAAAGCUAGGCCAGCGGGAGUGAGGUAAAAAAGGGAGGGAGUGAAAAACAGAAGGAGGUAAGUGGGAAGAAAGGAGAAGGAGCAGAAAAAGUGAUCAGGCUAUAUCACAAGUUAAGCCUGUGGACGAUGGAUUCAAUUUUCAAACAGUGCAAAAGUUAUAGUUCCUGUUUUUUCUUGUGGCACAGUAAACUGAGUUCUGUUCAAGGACAUCAGCUUUAUUGCAUUGUGGUGAAAUGCCCUCCACAGUAUUGAUUUUCAUUAGAAAACAUGAAAGAUAAGUUGCAUUACUUGGAACAUAAAAUUGAAUAGUGAAAUAUGAGUUUAACUUUAUUAACCACAGAAGUGCAAUGUCUGAAUCAGUCACCAUUUAAAGUUGUGAUGUAAGGGCGGGACUUCGUUCUAUCCAUUGGUUGUUGAUUGGAUGAAGAUACAAUGUUAACAUUAA